GAUGAACGCUGGCGGCGUGCCUAAUACAUGCAAGUCGAGCGAACAGACGAGGCGCUUGCUCCUCUGACGUUAGCGGCGGACGGGUGAGUAACACGUGUAUAACCUACCUAUAAGACUGGGAUAACUUCGGGACACCGGAGCUAAUACCGGAGAAUAUAUUGAACCGCAUGGUUCAAUAGUGAAAGACGGCUUUGCUGUCACUUAUCGAUGGAUCCGCGCCGCAUUAGCUAGUUGGUACGGUAACGGCUUACCAAGGCAACGAUGCGUAGCCGACCUGAUAGGGUGAUCGGCCACACGGGAACUGAGACAGGGUCCAGACUCCUACGGGAGGCAGCAGUAGGGAAUCUUCCGCAAUGGGGGAAAGCCUGACGGAGCAACGCCGCGUGUGUGAUGAAGGUCUUCGGAUCGUAAAACUCUGUUAUGAGGGAAGAACAAAUGUGGAAGUAAAUAUGCACGGCUUGACGGUAACUAAUCAGAAAGCAACGGCUAACUACGUG
This 497-nucleotide ribosomal RNA is filed under the name uncultured bacterium. Its description in RNAcentral is "partial 16S ribosomal RNA". It matches the Rfam family "Bacterial small subunit ribosomal RNA", at positions 28 to 507 of the family's 1533-position model. The record is from RNAcentral.